GAUGAACGCUAGCGGCAGGCUUAACACAUGCAAGUCGAGGGGCAGCGCGAUGUAGCAAUACAUUGGCGGCGACCGGCGCACGGGUGCGUAACACGUAUGGAACUUACCCUUUACUGGGAGAUAGCCCGGAGAAAUCCGGAUUAAUAUCCCAUAAUAAACGAAGUGGCAUCACUUUGUUUGAAAGCUCCGGCGGUAAAGGAUGGCCAUGCGCACGAUUAGCUAGUAGGUGAGGUAACGGCUCACCUAGGCUACGAUCGUUAGGGGGCCUGAGAGGGUUAUCCCCCACACUGGUACUGAGACACGGACCAGACUCCUACGGGAGGCAGCAGUGAGGAAUAUUGCGCAAUGGAGGCAACUCUGACGCAGCCAUGCCGCGUGCAGGAAGAAGGCGCUACGCGUUGUAAACUGCUUUUAACCGGGAAGAAACCCUCCGACGUGUCGGAGGUUGACGGUACCGGAGGAAUAAGCACCGGCUAACUCCGUGCCAGCAGCCGCGGU
Molecule: ribosomal RNA, 498 nt
Filed under: uncultured bacterium
Lineage: Bacteria
Description: bacterial SSU rRNA
Rfam family: Bacterial small subunit ribosomal RNA
Source: RNAcentral